AUGGCUGUUUUACGAUAUGAUACCACGAUAUACCUCAGAGACCUAUAUAACUGUACUGUCGUCGUGUGUCUGGGUCAGGGGGCGGGACACACGAUCUUAUAGUAUACUCUGUAUAUCGGACAGGUGUAUUCCAUUCUUGCUCUUCGACUCCAUCAGUUACAGUGUUCACGCAUCAUUGCAUCCCAAAUUUAGUCUAAUUCCUAUCCUCAAAUUCUCUGAUAAAAUCCUCGAGCUGCCAAAUUAUGCGAACCUACCCCCGUCAGUAGCCCGAUUUUUAGUGAUUUUAGUGAUAAAACUUUUAAAAAGUGAUCAGUGAACUGUGAUUAAGGACUCGAAGGGCUCGUGAUUAAUUGACAGCGAUUGCGGGCCAAGGAAUGAGGCUUCACUGUGUUAUUUUAAUAUGUCUUCUCUUUGGUGGGGCAACCCCCGAGGAAGUAGAAGUAGUCGAAGCGAUCCCUGGCGAGGAUUCAGCAGCCCGCCCAGAAGACGCUUCAACAGACCAAUUGGCUCUCGAAUCCCUGAAUUCAAACUCAAACCCUCCUUCAAACUCUGCCUCUAACUCCAACCGCGGAACAAUCGGUUCCAAUCGGCACAAUGUAGCCUAUCACGGCCCUCCUCCUCCCCCGCCAGGAAAGCAAUCCACAGAAGCUCUGGACAAAGUUUUCACCACCGGAACAGGCGUAAGCAGUGACUGGCCUUCAACAUCCCCCGACAUGCCGAAAAUAGUAUCCUUGGACGUAAAAUGCGAGAAGAAUCUGAUGAAGAUAUUCUUGGGCUUCGACAAACCUUUUUACGGCAUAGUCUUCAGCAAAGGCCACUACAGCAACGUAAAUUGCGUCCACCUUCCCGCAGGACUAGGCCGGACCUCUGUCAACUUUGAAAUCGGGAUUCACGCCUGCGGAACAGCUGGAAACACCGAAAACGGUUUGUACGGAUACGGCGCGGAGUCAGGAUCAGGAACUUACUUCGAGAACAUCAUCGUGGUCCAGUAUGACCCUCAGGUCCAGGAGGUUUGGGACCAAGCCAGAAAGCUUAGAUGCACUUGGCAUGAUUUGUACGAAAAGUCCGUGACCUUCAGACCCUUCCCAGUGGACAUGUUGGACGUGGUAAGAGCAGACUUUGCUGGAGACAACGUUGGCUGUUGGAUGCAAAUCCAGGUUGGCAAAGGACCUUGGGCUUCAGAAGUGUCUGGGCUGGUGAAGAUUGGUCAAACCAUGACCAUGGUCCUGGCGAUAAAGGACGACGAGGCCAAGUUCGACAUGUUGGUCCGCAAUUGCAUGGCUCAUGACGGAAAACGCGCGCCAAUUCAAUUGGUUGACCAGCGGGGCUGCAUUACUAGACCCAAACUGAUGUCCAGGUUCACCAAGAUCAAGAACUUUGGAGCCAGUGCUUCAGUUUUAUCCUACGCCCACUUCCAGGCGUUCAAAUUCCCGGAUUCAAUGGAGGUCCACUUCCAGUGCACCAUCCAGAUCUGCAGGUACCACUGUCCUGACCAGUGCUCUGAAGGAUUAGACUCUGGACUUGGUCCAGGCCUGCUGGAGAACUCCCAUCCUGAUGUAAGCUACGGACUGCCACCACCUCUUCCUUUGGAGGCUUAUCUCCAAGCUGGAGCUGGAAGGCCAAGAGACGAACGCCGGAGAAAGUCCAGGGAGGUGUCGCUGACCACCGUUGGGGUCAAUAGGAUCAUCAGGGUGGUUUCCACUGGAGACUUGACCUUUGCUAUUGAUGAGAAGCCUGAAGAAGACACUGUUGUGGUUCCAGUUCAGGCCGGCUCGACUCUCAUCUGUAUGACCACCCCCAAGUUUGCGUUCACGCUGAUAAUCCUCCUGGCGAUCAUGUUGUUCUCCUGUAUCCUGUCGGCUUACUUGUGGAUCAGGUUGAGACCCACCACCAAGAAAAAGUGCAUCGUCGCGUACGUCUCCAAGAAGCCCAAGACCUGCUUUUACUCUUAGGAAAAGGUUGGAUCACGUUUGUAAAUAAAUUGGGGAGAUUCUUGCAGUUGCAAUAUUUAUACUUAUAAAUUUAAUGUGUGGUAAACGUUCGUCCUACCUCAUUCUUACACGGCUUGUUGAAUGUCGUGACGUACGUGGUGCACUCGAGGCUAUCCAAUACCCGGUGGAGGCACGAUUUAAUGUAAGUGUGUGUAAUGUAAGAGUGGAUCUCGAAUGCUUGAUGUGUACUUGUGUAUAUUUUAUCCCGUAUAAAGAGCGUGACCUCAAGAGGAUUACCACCUGACCCUCAGGCUGAUCUUGUGAAAGUAAAGGGAGACUUGCUCAGGGGGUCAGUCAGCCAACAAGAAUUUUUUUUAUCGGAUUAUUUUUUAUUAAUUUAGUUUUUAAGGUGAUUUAAAUCAAAAUUUUUGUGGUUUAAAUGGAAAGUUUAAUAAAUUUGGUUUAGUAAAUUUGGUUGUCCAACUUUGACCACUUUGACUUUUUGGAGGUUUUUGAGGUCAUAAUUGAUGCACCAAUCGAUUGCGACCUGAAAAAAUCACGUAGCUUUUAGCACGAUUUUUUCCCGUAGCCUCAAGAGAAAGUUUUUUAACUUAUGCCCAGAAGUUCGGGGUUCGAAUCUUGAUUGGAGUUUUUUUUUUAUUUUUUUUUUUUUUUAACUUUCUGUUUAAAUGACAAGUCGCCAGUGAAGGAUACUUAAAUAAAUAUAACAAAUCUUGUCAAUAACGAUUUAUAUAAAAUAAACUCAGAAGACUUGAAUAAAAAAUAUUUAUUGUGCCAGAUUUAAAUUAACACCUCAGUAACAAAAAGGUUUAUGUUAUUGCGAAUUAAUUUUAUCAGUACAUGUGUAAGUUAUUUAAAGAAAAAUAACCAUAUAUAUAUAUAUAUAAAUAUUAACAUUGAUAUGAAAUUUAUUAUCAAUAAAGUAGAGACGCGUUAGUGUGCGAGAGUUGUAUAACAACACAAGUACAUCUAAUUUGCGUAAUUAGCAUACAAAUUGCGGUAUGAGCAGAUAAAUCGUUUCAAGCCUGUCGGCGAUGAGUCCGUUACUCGGACAUGAAUGAGAAUAACAGAGAGAGAGGGAUAAGAAAAAAAUUUUAAGAACGGAAGAGGAGAAAAAAGGCAUGAGAACGCCCGGCUCUAUAUCAUAAUAAUUUAAGACCCAUUUUUCCGUGGGAAAUUUUUUUUUCGGCCCUUUUUUACGAAUUGUUACGUCCCAAAUUGGGCCAUUAUUUUUUUACUUACCGUCCGUUAUUAUUUAUCUUAUAUUUAUUUAUUUAUAUUAUUUAAUAAUCAAACUAAUGUUAAUGAGAAAAUCCUGUCACUGUACAAGAUAA
RNA transcript from Cotesia glomerata, 3286 nucleotides. RefSeq lists it as uncharacterized. NCBI's taxonomy places the organism in Eukaryota, Metazoa, Arthropoda, Insecta, Hymenoptera, Braconidae. The record is from RefSeq and is a predicted model, not a curated record. The transcript has 4 exons.